UGGGGAAUUUUGGACAAUGGGCGAAAGCCUGAUCCAGCAAUGCCGCGUGAGUGAAGAAGGCCUUCGGGUUGUAAAGCUCUUUUGUCAGGGAAGAAACGGUGAGAGCUAAUAUCUCUUGCUAAUGACGGUACCUGAAGAAUAAGCACCGGCUAACUACGUGCCAGCAGCCGCGGUAAUACGUAGGGUGCAAGCGUUAAUCGGAAUUACUGGGCGUAAAGCGUGCGCAGGCGGUUUUGUAAGUCUGAUGUGAAAUCCCCGGGCUCAACCUGGGAAUUGCAUUGGAGACUGCAAGGCUAGAAUCUGGCAGAGGGGGGUAGAAUUCCACGUGUAGCAGUGAAAUGCGUAGAUAUGUGGAGGAACACCGAUGGCGAAGGCAGCCCCCUGGGUCAAGAUUGACGCUCAUGCACGAAAGCGUGGGGAGCAAACAGGAUUAGAUACCCCCGUAGUCCCUGAGCGGGCUGGCAAGGCGCAU
RNAcentral lists this ribosomal RNA (472 nucleotides) under uncultured bacterium. RNAcentral's name for it is "bacterial SSU rRNA". It matches the Rfam family "Bacterial small subunit ribosomal RNA", at positions 355 to 825 of the family's 1533-position model. The record is from RNAcentral.